Molecule: ribosomal RNA, 497 nt
Filed under: uncultured bacterium
Lineage: Bacteria
Description: partial 16S ribosomal RNA
Rfam family: Bacterial small subunit ribosomal RNA
Source: RNAcentral
GAUGAACGCUGGCGGCGUGCCUAAUACAUGCAAGUCGAGCCAACAGACGAGGAGCUUGCUCCUCUGACGUUAGCGGCGGACGGGUGAGUAACACGUGGAUAACCUACCUAUAAGACUGGGAUAACUUCGGGAAACCGGAGCUAAUACCGGAUAAUAUAUUGAACCGCAUGGUUCAAUAGUGAAAGACGGUUUUGCUGUCACUUAUAGAUGGAUCCGCGCCGCAUUAGCUAGUUGGUAAGGUAACGGCUUACCAAGGCAACGAUGCGUAGCCGACCUGAGAGAGUGCUCGGCCACACUGGAACUGAGACACGGUCCAGACUCCUACGGGAGGCAGCAGUAGGGAAUCUUCCGCAAUGGGCGAAAGCCUGACGGAGCAACGCCGCGUGAGGUAUGAAGGUCUUCGGAUCGUAAAACUCUGUUAUUAGGGAAGAACAAAUGUGUAAGUAACUAUGCACAUCUUGACGGUACCUAAUCAGAAAGCCACGGCUAACUACGUG